RNAcentral lists this ribosomal RNA (471 nucleotides) under uncultured Roseibacillus sp. Its description in RNAcentral is "bacterial SSU rRNA". It matches the Rfam family "Bacterial small subunit ribosomal RNA", at positions 73 to 542 of the family's 1533-position model. Lineage: Bacteria; Pseudomonadati; Verrucomicrobiota; Verrucomicrobiia; Verrucomicrobiales; Verrucomicrobiaceae. The record is from RNAcentral.
CAAUAGCUUGCUAAUGAAAUUCUUAGUGGCGGACGGGUUAGUAACACGUGAGAAUCCUACCCUUGAGUGGGGAAUAGCCCUUCGAAAGGAAGAUUAAUGCCCCAUAGUCUCUACGGAGUAAAGAUGCCUUCGGGUGUCGCUUAAGGAUGGGCUCGCGGCCUAUCAGCUAGUUGGUGAGGUAAGAGCUCACCAAGGCAACGACGGGUAGCUGGUCUGAGAGGACGAUCAGCAACACUGGAACUGAGACACGGUCCAGACACCUACGGGUGGCAGCAGUCGAGAAUCAUUCACAAUGGACGAAAGUCUGAUGGUGCAACGCCGCGUGGAGGAUGACGGCCCUAGGGUUGUAAACUCCUGUCAUCAGGGAGUAAGACUUAUUCGUUAAUAGCGUGUAAGUUUGAUAGUACCUGAAGAGGAAGGGACGGCUAACUUCGUGCCAGCAGCCGCGGUAAUACGAAGGUCCCAAGCGUU